This 459-nucleotide ribosomal RNA is filed under the name uncultured bacterium. RNAcentral describes it as "partial 16S ribosomal RNA". It matches the Rfam family "Bacterial small subunit ribosomal RNA", at positions 338 to 795 of the family's 1533-position model. The record is from RNAcentral.
CCUACGGGUGGCAACAGUGAGGAAUAUUGGUCAAUGGACGGAAGUCUGAACCAGCCAUGCCGCGUGCAGGAAGACGGCUCUAUGAGUUGUAAACUGCUUUUGUACAAGGGUAAACCUGAAUACGUGUAUUCAGCUGAAAGUACUGUACGAAUAAGGAUCGGCUAACUCCGUGCCAGCAGCCGCGGUAAUACGGAGGAUCUAAGCGUUAUCCGGAUUUAUUGGGUUUAAGGGUGCGUAGGCGGAUUGAUAAGUUAGAGGUGAAAUGUCCGAGCUUAACUCGGGAACUGCCUCUAAUACUGUUGAUCUAGAGAGUAGAUGCGGUAGGCGGAAUGUAUGGUGUAGCGGUGAAAUGCUUAGAGAUCAUACAGAACACCGAUUGCGAAGGCAGCCUACCAAUCUAUAUCUGACGUUGAGGCACGAAAGCGUGGGUAUCAAACAGGAUUAGAUAUCCCAGUAGUC